UACGAAGGGGGCUAGCGUUGUUCGGAAUUACUGGGCGUAAAGCGCACGUAGGCGGACAUUUAAGUCAGGGGUGAAAUCCCAGAGCUCAACUCUGGAACUGCCUUUGAUACUGGGUGUCUCGAGUAUGGAAGAGGUGAGUGGAAUUCCGAGUGUAGAGGUGAAAUUCGUAGAUAUUCGGAGGAACACCAGUGGCGAAGGCGGCUCACUGGUCCAUUACUGACGCUGAGUGAGCGAAAGCCAGGGGAGCAAACGGG
Molecule: ribosomal RNA, 254 nt
Filed under: uncultured bacterium
Lineage: Bacteria
Description: partial 16S ribosomal RNA
Rfam family: Bacterial small subunit ribosomal RNA
Source: RNAcentral